UACGGAGGGUGCAAGCGUUAAUCGGAAUUACUGGGCGUAAAGCGCACGUAGGUGGUUUGUUAAGCCAGCUGUGAAAUCCCCGGGCUCAACCUGGGACUUGCAGUUGGAACUGGCGAGCUAGAGUAGGGUAGAGGGGUGUGGAAUUCCAGGUGUAGCGGUGAAAUGCGUAGAUAUCUGGAGGAACAUCAGUGGCGAAGGCGACACCCUGGACUCAUACUGACGCUCAGGCGCGAUAGCGUGGGGAUCAAACAGG
RNAcentral lists this ribosomal RNA (253 nucleotides) under uncultured bacterium. RNAcentral describes it as "partial 16S ribosomal RNA". It matches the Rfam family "Bacterial small subunit ribosomal RNA", at positions 524 to 776 of the family's 1533-position model. The record is from RNAcentral.